RNAcentral lists this non-coding RNA (30 nucleotides) under Rattus norvegicus (Norway rat). Lineage: Eukaryota; Metazoa; Chordata; Mammalia; Rodentia; Muridae. The record is from RNAcentral.
UCCAAAUGUAGCAUCUCUCCAGGUUGGGAU